ACCAGGUUCUCCAAAGCUUCUUGUUCCGGAGGCUGGGUCUCCAGUGUGGCAAUGUUGAGGUGGUAGAACCUUUAAAGGGUAGGGCUCAGUAGGAGUUGAUUAGGUCAUUGAGAGCAUCAACCUUGGAAGACACAAGCUAUGUUCUGGAAGGACCACAGCUGGUUUCAUCGGGAGUGAAUUGUUAUAAAAAGAGCAAGUCUGGCCCCUGCAUCUCUCUGGCUUCCUGUCGUGCAUUGAGAUUGCUUCUGCAGGUGCCACUACUGUUGCAACGUGAUCUGCCACUAGGUCCUUACCAGAGGCCAAAUAGUUUUGGGAGGAAGAGGAGGCUUCAUCUUGGACUUUCAGCCUCAAAAACCAUGAGCUGGGUUAACCACUUUUCGUCAUGAAAUACUAGGCUCAGGUAGAGAGGACAGAUGGAGAGAAAUCUUCUAUCCUUUGGUUCACUCUUCAAAUGCCUGUAACAGCUAAGGCUGGGUCAGGCCAAAGUCAGGAGCCUGAAACGCCAGCCCACCGCGGUCCCUGUGUGACUGGCAGCAAUGCACAGACUUCUCCCAUCAUCUGCUGCCUUCCAGGAUGCGCGUCAUCAGGAAGCUGAAUUGGCAGUCACCAGUCACCAGUGACUAUGAGCAUGUGAAAUGUGACCAGUCCAAACUGAUGUAUGCUGCAGAUACAAAACACACACUAAAUAUGUAAGACUUCAUAGGAAAGAAAGAAUGUAAAAUAGCU
Non-coding RNA from Oryctolagus cuniculus (rabbit), 726 nucleotides. The record is from RefSeq and is a predicted model, not a curated record. Lineage: Eukaryota; Metazoa; Chordata; Mammalia; Lagomorpha; Leporidae.